CAAAAACAAAACAAAAACCUUAUUUCAGUCCAAGUCAUCCGGACGCACUGGCGAAUGGUCAUUUUACGCAGACAUAAUAAACAUUCUGUACGUUCAAUUGAAAAUUGAAACUUCGUUUACAUAUUAAGAAAGAUACUAAACCAUAUAGUUGAUAGUAUAUAUUUAUUAUCGUACUUAGUUGUACAAAAUUGCAUUUUAUUAUAGUUUCGAACACUACCGCAUAAACAAGUACAAACUGAGCGCACAUCAAUAUUAAAUAGAUAUUAAAAAGCGACUGGAAAAAUUAACGUUUGUAGUGUCAAUAAUUUCGUAAUAUACGAGUAUAUGUUUUUCACUAUGCAUACUAACUACAGAAUAACACAGACUGAGUAAUUAUUAUAAUAUCAUUCACAUUUUUUCCAUAAUUUAUUGUUGUUUUCGACCUCGAUUUAUCAUGUUUUCGUGAAACGGGAACAUAAUAUUGUUUUAAUAUUUUCCGAUCGUACCGUACGAAAUUUUAAUAAAAACAUAUUACGUUUAUUCGAUUGUAAUAAAAUAAUAAUUAAAUUAUUAUAUAUUAUAUAUUAUAUAUUAUAUUAUAAUAUAAUACAUAAGAUUAUAUGACAAUAUUAUUCGAUUAGUGUUAUUAGUAUUAUUCGACUGGGCACAACGACUCGAACGACCGAAAAUUUCGAAUGAAUACGAAAUAACGUUCACAUAAUGUAUUUUUAUUGUAUACUGAUACAACAGAUUAAAAUAAUUAUUUGUUUUACGUAAAAUAUUAAAUAAUAUAUUAUCCUAUAUAUAUGUACACAUGUAUAUUUGUUUUUUGAUUAUGGACAUAUUGCUUAAAUAUUCUUAUAUAAUUAUAUAUUUGUAUAUUUAAUUUGGAAAAAAAUAUCCU
Cinara cedri is the source of this 883-nucleotide non-coding RNA. The record is from the annotation of a GenBank genome assembly. Lineage: Eukaryota; Metazoa; Arthropoda; Insecta; Hemiptera; Aphididae.